Long non-coding RNA from Daphnia pulicaria, 443 nucleotides. RefSeq lists it as uncharacterized. The transcript has 2 exons. NCBI's taxonomy places the organism in Eukaryota, Metazoa, Arthropoda, Branchiopoda, Diplostraca, Daphniidae. The record is from RefSeq and is a predicted model, not a curated record.
AUUUUUUUUUUUUUAAAUUUCAGAUCUGCCGACAACAAUUCGUCUCUCUACACUCUCAGCCUAUUUUGGAAGAUCUUUCAAAGUUUUUGGUCUCACAGUUUGCCGUCCGAGCGAGUGGUGCCGAUGCUGUUGACGAUGACACGCCCAAAGGACUUGCAAGACACAGAUUGAAUCAAAUUAUAAGUGAAGUGCCUAGACGCGGUAUGUUUGAUUUGCGCCUUGUUCUCGACUCGGUCUACUUCUUCUUCUUUUCCUAAACUAUAAAGGAUUAUCGGACGUGUUCGUUGGACAAAAAGUAACAACAGUUAGGAUGGUUGUAAAAUCUGUGCAUUCGUAUAAUUAGUAUUGUCUAGUCUUUUCCACAAUAAACCCGACGUGGUAGUUCCUAAUUUUUUCAUUGUUUAUAAGGAGAUAAUCAACAAGAUAAACAUCAAUCGCCUACA